Molecule: long non-coding RNA, 1911 nt
Filed under: Homo sapiens (human)
Lineage: Eukaryota; Metazoa; Chordata; Mammalia; Primates; Hominidae
Description: novel transcript
Source: RNAcentral
GCAGUUGAAGAGGAGUGCAUGGUUUCCGGCAUUUGGCUGGGCCUUUGUCUCUCGCUCCCACCAGAGCUUGGAAUCCGUCUCUGCUCUUCUGCAUUCUCCACCUCGGGAGCCCCUGGGGACUCUGUGACGGCCUCUGUUGCCCUGUGAUCUGCAGGUCCGGAGAGACGCACAGCUAAGAUGUCAGGACAUCCUGGAAGCUGGGAAAGGGUCUUGCCAUCUCUAAGCUGGACCUGGUGACCUUUUUGGAGGGAAAGAAAGAGCCCUGGACUGUGAAGAGUGAGGAGACCAUAGCUGCACAGCCAGUCCAGAUGUAUAAUCUCAUCCCUGAACAUUUCUGAUGGUGUGAUUAUGACAUGUGACUUUAUCUGGCAACAGAGUGAGUUGUUGCUCCCGCCUGAGCCCAGCCCCCAGAAAGGAUUGUGACAUAUCGUUGGACCCAGAAUUGAGGUGCAGUUUUGACACACUUCUGUCUAGCAGCUGAGUAUUGUGAUCUUCAGAACUGGCCCAGCCUACAAAUAGGAUUGUGCCACACUGCUGGACCCAGCACCUAGAUGAUGUAACUAUUCUCCUGCCUUGGUGCUACUCAAAAAAGACAUUAACAUAUCUCAGAGCCUUGCACCCAGGUGGAAUUGUGACAUAUAACUUGGCCAAGCACACAGAUGUAAUGGUGUGGUGACUCUCAUACCUAGAACUGGGACCUGUGCAGGAUUGUUAAUUCAUUACUGGACAUUCCUGUGGGUGUGAUUGUUACAUAUGCCUAUGUUCAGCACCCGAGUGAUUUGAUUUUGCUGCCUGGUCUCAGUCCAAAUGUAAGAUUGUGAUUUAUCGCUGAAUCCAGCACCUCGGUGAUUUGACUCUCCCUUUUUUUGUGGGAGGGAUCCUGCAAAUUUUGGGUAUUGUCAAUUAUUGCUGAAUCCUGUACCCAUGUUAUGACUCUCCCAAAUGUGCCUUACCUGUUGUGGCACAAUAUAUCACAUUAGACAUUGUUAAAUAUUGUUGGGUUCAACACCUGGGUGAUGGAUGUAACUUUUUUUCUGGGCCUGCCUACAGGGGACCUUGUGACAUAACUCAAUGCCCAUCAUCAUGGUAAUGUUACUCUCUUCUCCUGCCUGAUCUCUGCUCACAGAGAAAUUGUGACACAUCACUGGCCUAGCAUCUAGGUGAUGUGACUCUCCUCUUUUUUUCAGGCUCUGCAUAUUUGGGUAUUGUGACAUAUUGCUGAACUCAACACCUAAGGGAUGGGAGUCUCCUACCUAGGCCCUUCCUACAGGGGACAUUGUGACAUGUCUCUGCAUUCCUCAUCCAGGAGAUGUGACUCUCCUUUUCUGCCUACACCCUGCCUACACAGAAAGUUGUGGCAUAUUGCUGUGGUCAGCAACCAGAUGAUAUAUUUCUCCUGCCUGGGUCUUUAUUACAGGAAAGAUGAUUGACAUAUUACUGGGCCCAGCAUCCAGAUGAUGUGACUCUCUUCUUCUGUUGGUCCUUGCUUACAGGGAAACUGUAGCAUAUUGCUACACCCAACACCUAGCUUAUGUGAUUCUUCUUUUAGGUUUGCCUUCAGGGAACAUUGUGACAUAUUGCUGGGCCCUGCACUGAUAAUUUGUGACUCUUCUGCCUGUGAUUUGCCCACUUGGGGCAUUGUGACAUAUUGCUGGGUUUAACACUCAGGUGAUGUAACUUUUAUGCCUAGGCCUUGCUUACAGGAGGCAUUUUGAAAUGUCUUUGUGGCUGGGCAUGGUGGCUCAUGUCUGUAAUCCCAGCGCUUGGGGAGGCCAAGGUGGGCAGAUCACAAAGUCAGGAGUUCGAGACCAGCCUGGUCAACAUGGUGAAAACCUGUCUCUACUAAAACAAAACAAAACAAAACAAAACAAAACAAAACAAAACAAAACAAAACAAAUAAAACCACAAAAA